Molecule: long non-coding RNA, 1812 nt
Organism: Austrofundulus limnaeus
Lineage: Eukaryota; Metazoa; Chordata; Actinopteri; Cyprinodontiformes; Rivulidae
Exons: 3
Source: RefSeq, a predicted model, not a curated record
AGGUUUUGUUUGGUCUCAGGUGUGGGUUUAGAGACAGAACCUGUGAGAAGUGUUUGCUGCUACCCUGCUUCAGUGCUAAGAUACCAACAGAGACGCCAUUGACAACAUGGCCACUACUGUGUGACAUGCAGAAGAUGAGCCUGGAGGCUGUGCUGGAGCAGACAUCAGCCGUAUGCUGCUUUCAGUGGGACCCCCAACGCCCGCAGCUGGCUCCGUUUACGGGCAACAGCAAACUCUAUCUCUGGUCCCCAGGAGGAUGUGUUUCUGUUCAAGUCCCAGCUGAAGGUGGCGUUCAGGUCCAGUCUCCGAUGUGGCACAGCAGUGGAGAGAGACUGAUCCUGCUCGGAAAGGAGCAGCUUUGUUUGUGCUACAUGGACACUGAUCAGGAAGAAACAUGAAAUACACAACAGUUAUUCUAAGAGGGUUUUGGUCAUAGUUCAGGUUUAUGAAGGCUUACAUUUAUGCUUAAAUUAAGACUAAUGAAAACACUCCUGCUGAACCUGUCCACAAACCUGGUUCCUUGGGUUGCACCAAAGGCUUUCCAGCCCAUUUCACAAAGUUUUAAAAGACUUUUUAUGGAUCAGAUGGGAAUGGAAAAACAUCAAUUUUAGAUUUUUUUUUUCAGUUAAAUCCCAAGCUUCAGCCAUUUUGUCUUCUGUAGAUGUAACUUCAAGACAUCUGUCUGUUUUUUUCUCUCUGUCUUAAUGUCCAAAGAUACCUUGUUAGGUCUGGGUCCAGGACUAAAGGGUUUUACUUUGAAAGGAAAUCAGCUAAAGAGUCUUCCUGAUCUGAGUUCACUCACCGGCCUGGAGGUGGUGGACCUACGUGACUGUGCUCUGCUGCCCCACACUUGCCUCUUUUAAAGUUUAAUGACUACAACAGUUCUGAUCAUUGCAGAUUUUCUGGCCUAAACACUAAAGUUACGUGUUGUUUCUGGUGAUUAGUUUAACAUUAAAGUGGUUUAAUCAGCAACAUUAAGUUAUUCUGCACACCUUAAUGCAUAUGCAUCCAUUGGGUUUCUUGUUGGCAACAUGUUAAAUUUACUUGUAGCUACUUUUAAAAUGUGGUUGCAGGAAAGAAAGUAAAGUUUAGUACCAUUUUUGUUGUAAGCAUUUUUUCCUACUUCAUGCUAAACUUAGCUGAAUAUUUUUAGCUUGAAGUUGGCUGAUGCUGCAUUUUCUUCUGCAUAAGACCCUCUUUUCCUUCACGUUAAUAAAAAGAAUAACCAGUUUGAGCCGGUCUAAGUCGUGGCCUGUAUUGUCAAAACCAUCAGUGCCGCAGUGGGAUUUCCUCUUUGAUUACCUGCAGCCUGUGGAGAGCUCAGGCUGCCGCAGUUUCUCAACACAAGCUGUAAUCUAUAGUUACAUAAUCUUAUUCUUUUUCCAGACCCACACUUCCUACACACACACACACACACACACAUGCACACCACAGAAAGUGUAAUUGCCAAUCUUGAGGCCUUGCAGAUCACAUGAAAUGAGCCGCUCAACAUUGCUCAUUACUGUGAUUUCAUUUUUUAUUCCUCUCCCAUCAUAAGUAUGAUUCAUUAAGUGAGUUGUGAAUUCUCAUAAAUACAAAGGGAGUAAGAGCUUAACGUGCAGAGGGAGGGUGAGAGUCAGCCAGGGAGGUGUGUGUGUAUUACCCAACAACCCCAGAAGAGCUGAGUAUUAAUAACCACAGAGGCAACAUGUUUCUGGUUGUGUAUGUGUAUGAGUUAACUGUGUCUGGUUUUACAAUAUGUCUGCAGACAAAGAGCUGGAAAGUCUAAAGCAAAUAUUUCAUCACAAUAAAACUACUCCAUUUAACAAAUUA